CGCUGCCGUAGCCUCGACGAUGCACGGAAAUAUUUCGACGAGAUGUUCUCUCAAGUCGGGAUUUGCUGGAACUCGCUCCCUCAGAGUGGAUCCGGCAAGCAAGCGCUGCAAAUCUUCCCCGAGAUAGAUCUCGUUGGUCGGAAAAAGUCAACGUGCGUCCAUGGCAGUCCAAGGGAUGGCGCUUUGCGUGACGAUGGUAAGAGCCUGAAAGGUGCAAACUUCAAAUCAAAUCAAAAAGUAAGAUCCCAGCCACCAAUAGCUUUUGCAAAAAAUUUCUCCUGUUUCGCCAUCGCUCCUAGAAAUCUUACUACUGCUGCUGGAUCAGUGGCAAUUGGCUCCUGUGCCACAAACUUGGACACCCCCUCUAGCUGAAAUUCAAGGACAUCACAUAGAAAAUGGAGUGCAAUGAUCGAGAUACUUUCCUAGACAAGGCUGCAUUGCUGCAAGUUUCAGCUCCUCUCCUCGUCCAAACCUGUUGAUGUUCAAGCGAGCAAUGCUGAGACGUGUUAGUCUCGGCUAGAUGGACACACUGACCAUGAUUAUCGUGGCUGCUGCUGUUCAAGCACUCCAGCUCCAAGAUGCCACUGACACAUCCAAUUCCAUAAAGACCCACCCGUCCACAUACGGGCCCGGCAAGUCUGGACUAGGUCGACCACUGUCUUUUGGUCUCUGGAAAGCUGCGGGAUGGAGAAAGAGGGAGAAAUUCCAAUAUCGCGGAGAAACC
RNAcentral lists this long non-coding RNA (724 nucleotides) under Selaginella moellendorffii. RNAcentral describes it as "long non-coding RNA (SMOE_LNC002228)". Lineage: Eukaryota; Viridiplantae; Streptophyta; Lycopodiopsida; Selaginellales; Selaginellaceae. The record is from RNAcentral.